CAACGUGCCCUGAAGACUGGGAUAGCCAGCCGAAAGGCUGAGUAAUACCAGAUGUGGCCCUUUGAGGACAUCCUCGAAGGAUUAAACGGUUUUUCGCUUCAGGAGCGGUUUAUGGCCUAUCAGCUAGUUGGUGGGGUAAUGGCCUACCAAGGCGACGACGGGUAGGGGGUCUGAGAGGAUGAUCCCCCCGAGUGGGACUGAGACACGGCCCACACACCUACGGGUGGCAGCAGUUUGGAAUCUUGCCCAAUGGGGGAAACCCUGAGGCAGCGACGCCGCGUGGAGGAUGAAGGAUCUAGGUCUGUAAACUCCUUUUAUCGGGAAAGACUUAGGACGGUACCCGAUGAAUAAGCACCGGCUAACUACGUGCCAGCAGCCGCGGUAAGACGUAGGGUGCAAGCGUUGUCCGGAUUUACUGGGCGUAAAGGACGCGUAGGCGGUCCGUUAAGUGUGAAGUGAAAUCUCCAGGGCUCAACCCGGAAACUGCUUUACAUACUGGCGGACUGGAGGGAUGCAGAGGUAAGUAGAAUUCCUGGUGUAGCGGUGAAAUGCGUUGAUAUCAGGAGGAAUACCGAUGGCGAAGGCAGCUUACUGGGCAUCAUCUGACGCUGAGGCGUGAAAGCGUGGGUAGCAAACAGGAUUAGAUACCCUGGUAGUCCACGCCCUAAACGAUGGAUACUAGACGUAAGAGGUAUCGACCCCUCUUGUGUCGCAGUUAACGCACUAAGUAUCCCGCC
Molecule: ribosomal RNA, 737 nt
Filed under: uncultured Armatimonadota bacterium
Lineage: Bacteria; Bacillati; Armatimonadota
Description: bacterial SSU rRNA
Rfam family: Bacterial small subunit ribosomal RNA
Source: RNAcentral